RNAcentral lists this ribosomal RNA (253 nucleotides) under uncultured bacterium. Its description in RNAcentral is "partial 16S ribosomal RNA". It matches the Rfam family "Bacterial small subunit ribosomal RNA", at positions 524 to 776 of the family's 1533-position model. The record is from RNAcentral.
UACGAAGGGGGCUAGCGUUGCUCGGAAUUACUGGGCGUAAAGGGCGCGUAGGCGGACGACUUAGUCAGAGGUAAAAGCCCAGGGCUCAACCUUGGAACUGCCUUUGAUACUGGUCGUCUUGAGUUCGGGAGAGGUGAGUGGAACUCCGAGUGUAGAGGUGAAAUUCGUAGAUAUUCGGAAGAACACCAGUGGCGAAGGCGACUCACUGGCCCGAUACUGACGCUGAGGCGCGAAAGCGUGGGGAGCAAACAGG